AUUGAACGCUGGCGGCAGGCUUAACACAUGCAAGUCGAGCGGGGUGAUGGUGCUUGCACUAUCACUUAGCGGCGGACGGGUGAGUAAUGCUUAGGAAUCUGCCUAUUAGUGGGGGACAACAUCUCGAAAGGGAUGCUAAUACCGCAUACGUCCUACGGGAGAAAGCAGGGGAUCACUUGUGACCUUGCGCUAAUAGAUGAGCCUAAGUCGGAUUAGCUAGUUGGUGGGGUAAAGGCCUACCAAGGCGACGAUCUGUAGCGGGUCUGAGAGGAUGAUCCGCCACACUGGGACUGAGACACGGCCCAAACUCCUACGGGAGGCAGCAGUGGGGAAUAUUGGACAAUGGGGGGAACCCUGAUCCAGCCAUGCCGCGUGUGUGAAGAAGGCCUUAUGGUUGUAAAGCACUUUAAGCGAGGAGGAGGCUCUUUUGGUUAAUACCCAAGAUGAGUGGACGUUACUCGCAGAAUAAGCACCGGCUAACUCUGUGCCAGCCACCGCAGUAA
RNAcentral lists this ribosomal RNA (503 nucleotides) under uncultured bacterium. RNAcentral describes it as "partial 16S ribosomal RNA". It matches the Rfam family "Bacterial small subunit ribosomal RNA", at positions 30 to 523 of the family's 1533-position model. The record is from RNAcentral.